CUCUCUCUCUCUCUCUCUCCUCACCAUUUCUGCCCAUUUCAAGCUCUCAACAAUUGACUUGCCCUCCUUUCACACUUAAUCUUCAAAUUUACAUGGUUUUGCAUGGUUGUCACCUCUAUCCCUACCUCUGAUCUUCUCUUCACUUUUGAUUCCUCUUUGCAAUUGCAACUAUCCAUUUGCACAUUACACUCCACCCACGACAUAAAUGAUCCGUUUGAUAAAAUGCCCACGGCAUUGUUGAUUUUUCUGUUUUUCUCAUUCCCUUUUGUGCUUCUAGAGACUGUAGAAGCUGCUAUAGUUCAUAGUUAUUGAAGGCUCUAGGCGCACCAAUGCACCAAGGUGUCCUGGAGCCUAGGCACAAGGCGUGUGCUUGAGCGAGUUGAGG
RNAcentral lists this unclassified non-coding RNA (385 nucleotides) under Hevea brasiliensis (rubber tree). The record is from RNAcentral. Lineage: Eukaryota; Viridiplantae; Streptophyta; Magnoliopsida; Malpighiales; Euphorbiaceae.